Molecule: small RNA, 67 nt
Organism: Solibacillus silvestris StLB046
Lineage: Bacteria; Bacillati; Bacillota; Bacilli; Caryophanales; Caryophanaceae
Rfam family: Bacillaceae-1 RNA
Source: Rfam
GAAAAAAGAAGUCAGCCUAAAUACGUCACAUUCUGUGACAACGGCUUACUGACCUACAUCCUGAGGG